RNAcentral lists this transfer RNA (73 nucleotides) under Nanobdellota archaeon. RNAcentral's name for it is "tRNA-Val". It matches the Rfam family "tRNA". From Rfam's summary of the family: Transfer RNA (tRNA) molecules are approximately 80 nucleotides in length. Their secondary structure includes four short double-helical elements and three loops (D, anti-codon, and T loops). Further hydrogen bonds mediate the characteristic L-shaped molecular structure. tRNAs have two regions of fundamental functional importance: the anti-codon, which is responsible for specific mRNA codon recognition, and the 3' end, to which the tRNAs corresponding amino acid is attached (by aminoacyl-tRNA synthetases). tRNAs cope with the degeneracy of the genetic code in two manners: having more than one tRNA (with a specific anti-codon) for a particular amino acid; and 'wobble' base-pairing, i.e. permitting non-standard base-pairing at the 3rd anti-codon position. The record is from RNAcentral. RNAcentral also lists the same sequence under 1 other name. Lineage: Archaea; Nanobdellati; Nanobdellota.
GGGCGGGUAGUCUAGUGGCUAUGACGUCGGCCUUACAAGCCGAAGGUCGCAGGUUCGAAUCCUGCCCCGCCCA